Molecule: ribosomal RNA, 171 nt
Filed under: Paraclostridium sordellii
Lineage: Bacteria; Bacillati; Bacillota; Clostridia; Peptostreptococcales; Peptostreptococcaceae
Description: partial 16S ribosomal RNA
Rfam family: Bacterial small subunit ribosomal RNA
Source: RNAcentral
UAUUUGAGAGUUUGAUCCUGGCUCAGGAUGAACGCUGGCGGCGUGCCUAACACAUGCAAGUCGAGCGAACCCUUCGGGGUGAGCGGCGGACGGGUGAGUAACGCGUGGGUAACCUGCCCUGUACACACGGAUAACAUACCGAAAGGUAUGCUAAUACGGGAUAAUAUAUGA